RNAcentral lists this ribosomal RNA (684 nucleotides) under uncultured bacterium. RNAcentral's name for it is "bacterial SSU rRNA". It matches the Rfam family "Bacterial small subunit ribosomal RNA", at positions 216 to 916 of the family's 1533-position model. The record is from RNAcentral.
CGCCCGAGGAUGAGCCUGCGUCCGAUUAGCCAGUUGGUGGGGUAAAGGCCUACCAAAGCGACGAUCGGUAGCUGGUCUGAGAGGACGAUCAGCCACACUGGGAUUGAGAACGGCCCAGACUCCUACGGGGGGCAGCAGUGAGGAAUUUUCGUCAAUGGUCGCAAGACUGAACGAGCAACGCCGCGUGCAGGAAGACGGUUUUCGGAUCGUAAACUGCUUUUCUGUGGGAAGAGUGAGGACGGUACCACAGGAAGAAGCCCCGGCUAACUACGUGCCAGCAGCCGCGGUAAUACGUAGGGGGCGAGCGUUGUCCGGAGUUACUGGGCGUAAAGGGCGUGCAGGCGGUGCGGUAAGUUUGGAGUGACAGUCCCCGGCUUAACUGGGGAAGGCCUCUGAAAACUGCUGGACUUGAGGGCCAGAGAGGGACAUAGAAUUCCGGGUGGAGUGGUGAAAUGCGUAGAUAUCCGGAGGAAUACCAAAGGCGAAGGCAGUGUCCUGGCUGGCAACUGACGCUGAGGCGCGAAAGCUAGGGGAGCGAACAGGAUUAGAUACCCUGGUAGUCCUAGCCGUAAACGAUGACCACUAGAUGUGCGGGGUAUCGACCCCCUGCGUGUCGGAGUUAACAUAUUAAGUGGUCCGCCUGGGGAGUACGGUCGCAAGAUUAAAACUCAAAGGAAUUGACGG